This 460-nucleotide ribosomal RNA is filed under the name uncultured bacterium. Its description in RNAcentral is "partial 16S ribosomal RNA". It matches the Rfam family "Bacterial small subunit ribosomal RNA", at positions 338 to 795 of the family's 1533-position model. The record is from RNAcentral.
CCUACGGGUGGCUGCAGUGAGGAAUAUUGGUCAAUGGGCGGGAGCCUGAACCAGCCAAGUCGCGUGAGGGACGACGGUCCUAUGGAUUGUAAACCUCUUUUGUCGGGGAACAAAGGCGCCCACGGGUGGGCGGAUGAGUGUACCCGAAGAAAAAGCAUCGGCUAACUCCGUGCCAGCAGCCGCGGUAAUACGGAGGAUGCGAGCGUUAUCCGGAUUUAUUGGGUUUAAAGGGUGCGUAGGCGGACAGUCAAGUCAGUUGUGAAAGUUUGCGGCUCAACCGUAAAAUUGCAAUUGAUACUGGCAGUCUUGAGUACAGUUGAGGUAGGCGGAAUUCGUGGUGUAGCGGUGAAAUGCUUAGAUAUCACGAAGAACCCCGAUUGCGAAGGCAGCUUACUAAACUGUGACUGACAUUGAUGCUCGAAAGUGUGGGUAUCAAACAGGAUUAGAUACCCUAGUAGUC